This is a non-coding RNA of Gossypium hirsutum (cotton), 87 nucleotides long. Lineage: Eukaryota; Viridiplantae; Streptophyta; Magnoliopsida; Malvales; Malvaceae. The record is from Rfam.
CCUGAGGAAGUGUUUUGCCUACGUGGACAGAAAUCGCUCCCUUAAGGGCGUCCUUUAUGUCCAUGUAGGCAAAACGCUUCCUCAAGG